AGUUAAUCGGCACGGGCGUAGGAGAUCUCUCCACGCCCGUGCUCGUAUGUUAAGGGGCUGAAAAAAA
This 67-nucleotide small RNA is filed under the name Kluyvera cryocrescens. RNAcentral's name for it is "tpke11". It matches the Rfam family "tpke11", at positions 9 to 75 of the family's 77-position model. Rfam says of the family: In Yersinia located in ICR upstream dnaJ (chaperone)gene. Has temperature responsive RNA structure. Lineage: Bacteria; Pseudomonadati; Pseudomonadota; Gammaproteobacteria; Enterobacterales; Enterobacteriaceae. The record is from RNAcentral.